This is a long non-coding RNA of Gasterosteus aculeatus aculeatus (three-spined stickleback), 543 nucleotides long. NCBI's taxonomy places the organism in Eukaryota, Metazoa, Chordata, Actinopteri, Perciformes, Gasterosteidae. The record is from Ensembl.
AGCCAACAGUGUUCACCUGGGAGGGGGAGGGAAGGGACCGGAGGAAUGGGGCUCCGCUUUGAAGGUCAGAGAGCAUCUCGGAGCUGUCACGGCCCGGCUGCCCGCCGCGCGGGACCAACUUCCUUCCCGUCCUCGCCGAUACCGACAAGGCACCUAGGCCGCGGCGAGGACGGCGCGGAGUGGCGGUGGAUGUGAUGGGGGGGGAGGAGGAGGCGAUCAGACAGGAGGAGGCAUUAUGUUCCCGUUGGUUACCAGAGCACACACGACAUCCCUGCUCUAGCUCAUAUCAAUUUGUAAUUUGACCCCCAGUCACAGCGAAUGAUGUCAGCACAGGUCGCUUUUGCAAAGUGUCCCUGCAUUUGUCCGUCGUCGUUGUCAAUCUCUGUCAGCGAUGUUUUGUUCUUCUAUUGUUACGUGUUUUUAUCCCCGUUGACUGAUGUUAAUAUUUAUAUAUGUUAAUAUUCUUCAUAAUUCAUUCACUUCAAUUGUCGAUGUUUUGCUAGAUCUCUUUAAUAAAGGGAGGAACGGUUUGUUCAUUUCAAA